Molecule: ribosomal RNA, 433 nt
Filed under: uncultured bacterium
Lineage: Bacteria
Description: partial 16S ribosomal RNA
Rfam family: Bacterial small subunit ribosomal RNA
Source: RNAcentral
AACGAACGCUGGCGGCAUGCCUAACACAUGCAAGUCGAACGAAACCUUCGGGUCUUUUGUCCCCCGGCUUCGUCACGCGUGGGAACCUUCCCUUAGGUUUGACCUACCUCUCCGAAAGGGGUGCUAUUACCGGAUCAUGUCUUCUGCCCAAGGAUUUAUCGCCUUUGGUUGUGCCCGCGUUGGAUUAGCUAGUUCUUAGGGUAAAAGCAUACUAAGGCGACGAUCCAUAGCUGGUCUGAGAGGAUGAUCAGCGACACUGGGACUGAGACACGGCCGAGAAUCCUACGGGAGGAAGGAGUGGGGAAUAGAGGAAAAUGGGCGGAGGGAUGAAGGAGCAAGGACGCGAAAGUGAUGAAGGCAUGAGAGUAGUAAAGCGCUAGUAACCAGGAAGAUAAUGACAGUACCGGGAGAAUAAGCUACGGCUAACUACGUG